This 490-nucleotide ribosomal RNA is filed under the name uncultured Diversispora. RNAcentral describes it as "SSU rRNA". It matches the Rfam family "Eukaryotic small subunit ribosomal RNA", at positions 569 to 1062 of the family's 1831-position model. Lineage: Eukaryota; Fungi; Glomeromycota; Glomeromycetes; Diversisporales; Diversisporaceae. The record is from RNAcentral.
AGCAGCCGCGGUAAUUCCAGCUCCAAUAGCGUAUAUUAAAGUUGUUGCAGUUAAAAAGCUCGUAGUUGAACCUCGGGGUCUACCCACUGGUCAGGCUUAAUUGUCUGCACUGGUGAGAUGGAUCUCUACCUUCUGAGGAACUUUCAUGCCAUUUAUUUGGUGUGAUGGGAAAUCAGGACUGUUACUUUGAAAAAAUUAGAGUGUUUAAAGCAGACUAUCGUCUGAAUACAUUAGCAUGGAAUAAUGAAAUAGGACGGACUGAUUCUAUUUCGUGGUUUCUAGGAUCACCGUAAUGAUUAAUAGGGAUAGUUGGGGGCAUUAGUAUUCAAUUGUCAGAGGUGAAAUUCUUGGAUUUAUUGAAGACUAACUACUGCGAAAGCAUUUGCCAAGGAUGUUUUCAUUAAUCAAGAACGAAAGUUAGGGGAUCGAAGACGAUCAGAUACCGUCGUAGUCUUAACCAUAAACUAUGCCGACUAGGGAUCGGACGAAG